RNAcentral lists this ribosomal RNA (398 nucleotides) under uncultured bacterium. RNAcentral describes it as "bacterial SSU rRNA". It matches the Rfam family "Bacterial small subunit ribosomal RNA", at positions 354 to 746 of the family's 1533-position model. The record is from RNAcentral.
GUCUAGAGGCUUCGGCAAUGGGCGAAAGCCUGACCGAGCGACGCCGCGUGUGGGAUUGAAGGCGUUUUCGUCGUAAACCACUGUCAGAGGGGAAGAAUGCCCGGAUGGUGAAUCCGGGAGAGACGUUACCCUCAGAGGAAGCCCCGGCUAACUCCGUGCCAGCAGCCGCGGUAAUACGGAGGGGGCCAGCGUUGUUCGGAUUUACUGGGCGUAAAGGGAGUGUAGGCGGUCGGUCAAGUCCGGUGUGAAAGCUUUACCGCUCACCGGAAAGAUGUCAUCGGAAACUGGUCGACUUGAGUAGGGUAGAGGCAAGCGGAAUUCCUGGUGGAGCGGUGGAAUGUGUAGAUAUCAGGAAGAACAUCGGUGGCGAAGGCGGCUUGCUGGGCUCUUACUGACGC